GGCUAAAGACUUUAAUGUUAUGUCGGGGCGUGGGCGUCGGUUCAGGUGGAUAGCUAAGGCUGGACGGAAGAGGACGGCCUCGUUUAGGGGCGGAGGGCCGUGCGGUACCGGCCGCUCUACGGACAGCGGCUACCUUUCCGGCCAAGGUGGACGUUGUGGUGGUUGGUAGCGCCGUGGAAAACCAGGAGCAGGCGGACGCCGCCCAAGAGCGCCGGCCGCCAGGACCAAGGAGUUCGGCCGCGGCGGUGGUGCACCCUAAGCUGACGGGUUGUGGUGGGCGACGGCGGCUGGAGGAGGCACCACCGAUGGACGGGGACAUUCCAGUCUUCGAGAACGAUGGACAGCGGCGGUGGGAUCGGGAUGUUGUAUCAUGAUUGCGAAUACCCAGACCCUGGAGGCCCUCACAGUCGUACCGUGCUGGACCGACGGGUUUUUUCACACCGUUACAGUCGUAAGACAUGGGUAAGCCGUGUCCUUUUCCGACGAAGGUUCUUGGGAAAUCACGGUGUACGUUACUCUGGCCCCGUAUAGACCGGAGUUGGCUUCAAUCCCAUGGCCUCUAGUCAGAAUGAGAACCACUCCAAGCACAAGUCUUGGGUGUGUAUAGUAGCGCUACGUUGAUAUGGUUGCCGUGGUUAUCGUGACCAAAGCUGCGGAAUUACGAACUAGGAAAAGUAUUUGAAAGGUUGUGGUUCUUGUUCAACUGUAGUUAACCCACACGAUACGAACGUUACCAACAGCCUGAGUGAUUCUCGUUCUUCGUCUAACUCAUGGGGUGGCGGCCGUGUACGAAAAGUAAGACGUAACUACGUUCAUCAUAGCUUCUACCAAGUCUCACGAGACCGAACCCAACGACGGUCCGGGGACACAGUCCUUUACAGUCGAGUAAUCAGUGGAAUAGGAAUGGUCAUGGUCUCAAAAUGUUGAGAUGGUAGGUCAGAAAGUCAAGGACGUCGAUGAGUAAGCAAAGACUCUUCCUGACCAAGUUCAAACUAGCAAGGAUACAAUUGAGAUGUUCCAAGCGUUCAUGUGUAUGUCUACCCCAAGGAAACCAUGAGCUAACCCAACAACCAUUACGUUCGACAAGUCUUCGGUGGUUCUACCCUAGUGUCAUACGGACAGUUCGGUACUUAUCACUUACAUAACUACACAGGUUACCGGGACCAAUGGCGACGUUGACGAGAGUUCCGGAUACUCCCGUUAGGGAUGGAUGUUCCUCCCACGGUUCUGUAGUUACUCACACAUGGAGGUUUGGUCAGUAACAUAGGAACGUUUCCAUUAACGUACUUGUGGCACCCCUCGAUGUUGACAAACACGGGUAGUCCUAAGUCUUCACUACUAGGUUUCUCGUAUGGGACGCAAGCUCGACUGGGUUUGUUUUGGGACUUCUAUUAGAAUCCGUAUAGACGAUCGUAGUAGAAGGAGUACCAAACGUACAAACGAGAUGCCCGACUUAUAGUCUUUUGCUUCGACCGUUUUCUCUUCCUUUCUAAGAAGCUAGUCUUACUACCAGUCUAUGACAUGGUAGUUUAAUACAGUUUUGUUCAGCUAUGUAACUUCUAUAAGUGCGUCCUACUAGACUUCUUCCGAUGUUUGCUAAAACUGUUCUCGUCUCUUCACCCGUUCCCCCCAGUGCCGUGACAGAUGUUCCCGUAAGAAUUCCUAUUGUUCCUUCAUCGGCACUUUGCGAGUUUCUAGUACUUGCACCGGCUUUGACUGCUCAAACACGUCCUCUAAUAAUAUGAAAGUGUUUGGUUGGUGGCUUUACACCAGUCCGAAAAUCCCACGACGAAUCUCCACCUUCAAGGCUACGACCAGAUACUUAAGUAGGGCUUACCGUGAGAGAAAGUAAAAUAGGUAGCAUUGAUGCCUUCAGCUGGAGGGAGUGACCUGUGGGCAGAAUCCCAGCGAGUUCUUAGACGACUUCGUGACCGCAUAGACGUAGACAGGUGCUUGGCGGGAUAUCAUGUGCCUCUACAAUUCAGAUACUUGUAAGAGAACCUGCUCUUGAUGUACCGCUUUCACUGGCUGAAACCCCGCAGUUCCUACGAGGGGUUCCUACUCCAAGUCAAGUACUGUAACCACGUCCCGUGGUACCCAAUGGACCUGGGACUCAUGGACGUCCUCGCCUUCGAUUGUCUCUUCUCGCUGCAAAUGUCGAAACCGCAACACGACGACCUUGACUAGUGCCCCUUUUGUCGGUAGAUGGUGCUGCCGAGGUACCUUCGGUUCUUGGAGCGCAGCAGGAAGGACGAGCGUUACUUCCUACCCUCGGAACUACCGUAGGACCUACGUUCGUAUCAACCACAGCCGAACCUCUACGACGACCCUCUUUAGCGGCUUGACUGCUCCUACACGAACUCGUGGUACCCCCUUCUCUCUGGAAGGUACUGGGUCCACCGACUGUUCGAUUUCCGAGACGCUUCGCGUACCUCCCUCUUUGACCACGAACUGGUACCGUUUCGUCUCACAGACCAGUUCAAGAGGAGUGGACGUCACGAAGAACUAGGAGGUAGUAGCUCGUGCAAGAGUUGUCCCGGGGUGUACAGACCUUAUCCAUAUCUCUGUGGGUCCACUAUCAAAGUCAAUAAUAAAUAAUGUGAUGCGCUCAUCAUAACGUUUCUUCUCUCUCUCUCUCUCUCUCUCUCACACACACACACACACACAUGCACAAUCUCCGGACCUCGAAGGUCACAUAAUGGUCAUAAACAGUACAUAAACGCCAUGGUUUAUAAUUCAUCUUCUUCAACCUUAACCAAUAAUCUUGUAAAUACAGGAUCAAAACCAAUAAAACCAAUGCAUUAUAAACUGGAAGUAGUAGAAAACACAACGAACGACGAAAAAUAAGUACGGAAAACCGUCAACGUAACAUUACUAAACAUUAUUAAAACUCUCAUUUUACAUAGACGUCAGUAGUCUAAUCACAUGUCUCGUCAUAGGCUAGUGAAUGUC
RNAcentral lists this ribosomal RNA (2952 nucleotides) under Triticum aestivum (bread wheat). RNAcentral's name for it is "partial small subunit ribosomal RNA". The record is from RNAcentral. Lineage: Eukaryota; Viridiplantae; Streptophyta; Magnoliopsida; Poales; Poaceae.